Molecule: long non-coding RNA, 1061 nt
Filed under: Oryctolagus cuniculus (rabbit)
Lineage: Eukaryota; Metazoa; Chordata; Mammalia; Lagomorpha; Leporidae
Description: lncRNA (ENSOCUG00000039443.1)
Source: RNAcentral
GAACUGUCACCUGUAUGAGAUGGUGGCACUUCAGGCCAUGGUGUUAACCUCCUGGGCCACAGCACCUGCUCCGGUGAUUAUCUUUGACUAGUCCAACUUUUCCAUUGGUUGUCAACUUUCACAAAUGUAAACUCCUCAAAGAUAAUACCUAACAUUUAAUUUGAAUGUAAUUAUAUUAUAUUUUUCUUUCUUUUUAAAUUUCUGAUUCCAGAUGACCUGAUAAAGAGAAUAAAUAUAGAUAUGCAUACAGUAGUCAGAAUAACUCCAGUGGAAAUUACCCUAAAGUUCCAAAGUCUCUAAAUUACAACCUAGAGAAGACUUGCAUCUGGGCUGAGGUACAUCUUGUGAUUCAAGAGCCAAGGGAGCACACCGAAGAAAGAAAGCCUGUUUUGGGACAAGAAUUAGACUAAGAAAUAACAGGUAACACUAUAUAAAACGUCACCAAAAGAGGGUGAGAAUAAUAUAACCUGAAUCAGAAACUUAAAGAAACUGACUUUUGUUUGAUCUACUCCAGCUCCUCAAGGGGCAACCUGAGCUGAGCAGUAAGGAUUGGGAGAGGAACUUACUCCACAGUGACUUGUGUACCUGGCCAGGGAGCUUCCCUGUUGGACCCAGAUUAGGUUUAUAGGGAGUGGAUGUACCACUUCCUGUAGAAUAAGAAUAUGACCAUGAGGCUCUGGUCUAAUAGAAGUAGUAGGACCUGAACACACUUCAACAAGUUGGAGAAGAAGCUUUGCCUGCAGGGCCAAUUCAAGGUAAUGGAUUUGUUUGUGGGUGCAAUAGGAAGAGACAGAGUGGAGUUCAUAAUAGCCUAGAGAUACCGGAGGAAAUGAUCUAUUGCUCUGGGACAAGCUGAUGAGCUGGCUAAGAGAAAAACCUUAGAAAAAAACAGUGAGAGUACCAUUUGCCUCUGUAGACACUGACCAUUUAGCCCACUUUCUACAGUCAUCCUUUACAGAUGAUCCUCUUUUUGACUUGGGCCAGCAAUGACUUCUGUAAGGGUGAUAAUGUGUCAGCAUAGCAGUGAUACACCAGAAAUGAAAAUGUGUUUAUUCAAGAAA